Molecule: ribosomal RNA, 434 nt
Filed under: uncultured Lachnospiraceae bacterium
Lineage: Bacteria; Bacillati; Bacillota; Clostridia; Lachnospirales; Lachnospiraceae
Also listed under: 1 other name
Description: partial 16S ribosomal RNA
Rfam family: Bacterial small subunit ribosomal RNA
Source: RNAcentral
ACGGAAGGCAGCAGUGGGGAAUAUUGCACAAUGGGGGAAACCCUGAUGCAGCGACGCCGCGUGAGCGAAGAAGUAUUUCGGUAUGUAAAGCUCUAUCAGCAGGGAAGAAAAUGACGGUACCUGACUAAGAAGCACCGGCUAAAUACGUGCCAGCAGCCGCGGUAAUACGUAUGGUGCAAGCGUUAUCCGGAUUUACUGGGUGUAAAGGGAGCGUAGACGGUAAAGCAAGUCUGAAGUGAAAGGACGGGGCUCAACCCUGUGACUGCUUUGGAAACUGUUUAACUUGAGUGCCGGAGGGGUAAGCGGAAUUCCUAGUGUAGCGGUGAAAUGCGUAGAUAUUAGGAGGAACACCAGUGGCGAAGGCGGCUUACUGGACGGUAACUGACGUUGAGGCUCGAAAGCGUGGGGAGCAAACAGGAUUAGAUACCCUGGUA